CGCGUGUGUUCUGGAAUGAAUUUGCACAUCUUCACCCCAAGGAGCUUUGCUGCCUCUUCCUCCAUGACGGCACCUGAGAGAACAAGCAGAGGCGCCUGGAGCCGCAGUACCGGCCGCCGGGGCGGCUGCCCAGCCAGGACUGCUCUCUUCCGAGACCCUCCACAUUCUGCCUGUGGAACUGUAGCUGCCAGUUUUGCUGUGCUGUGGCCCACACGUGAAUUCUCUCCGAUGCGAAGCCACGGACCCUCACUCGGCAGCCUGGACAGGACCAGCCCCCCAGCACCCCCAUUUCCUGCAACAGUCUGACUUAUGUGUGUGCAAAGCUUUGAUGAAAACCAAAUGAGCAAAAAAGAAAACCUGUAUUAAAACUUCAGAAAGGA
This is a non-coding RNA of Sus scrofa (pig), 380 nucleotides long. The record is from RefSeq and is a predicted model, not a curated record. Lineage: Eukaryota; Metazoa; Chordata; Mammalia; Artiodactyla; Suidae.